RNAcentral lists this ribosomal RNA (450 nucleotides) under uncultured bacterium. RNAcentral describes it as "partial 16S ribosomal RNA". It matches the Rfam family "Bacterial small subunit ribosomal RNA", at positions 354 to 796 of the family's 1533-position model. The record is from RNAcentral.
GUGGGGAAUUUUGGACAAUGGGCGCAAGCCUGAUCCAGCCAUGCCGCGUGAGUGAAGAAGGCCUUCGGGUUGUAAAGCUCUUUCGGCGGGGAAGAAAUGGCAACGGCUAAUAUCUGUUGUUGAUGACGGUACCCGCAUAAGAAGCACCGGCUAACUACGUGCCAGCAGCCGCGGUAAUACGUAGGGUGCGAGCGUUAAUCGGAAUUACUGGGCGUAAAGCGUGCGCAGGCGGUUGUGUAAGUCAGAUGUGAAAUCCCCGGGCUCAACCUGGGAACUGCAUUUGAGACUGCACGGCUAGAGUGUGACAGAGGGGGGUAGAAUUCCACGUGUAGCAGUGAAAUGCGUAGAGAUGUGGAGGAAUACCGAUGGCGAAGGCAGCCCCCUGGGUUACUACUGACGCUCAUGCACGAAAGCGUGGGGAGCAAACAGGAUUAGAAACCCCGGUAGUCC